GACGAACGCUGGCGGCGUGCUUAACACAUGCAAGUCAAGGGGGCCCAGCAAUGGGCAACCGGCGAACGGGUGCGUAACACGUGAGCAACCUACCGAAAUGUGGGGGAUAGCCGGCCUAACGGCCGAGUAAUACCGCAUACGCUUUCCGAGAGGCAUUUCUUGGAAAGGAAACCUACGGGACAUUUCGAGGGGCUCGCGGCCUAUCAGCUAGUUGGCGAGGUAACGGCUCACCAAGGCAACGACGGGUAGCUGGUCUGAGAGGAUGGCCAGCCACAUUGGGACUGAGAUACGGCCCAGACUCCUACGGGGGGCUGCAGUAACGAAUCUUCCGCAAUGCACGAAAGUGUGACGGAGCGACGCCGCGUGUAGGAUGAAGCCC
RNAcentral lists this ribosomal RNA (379 nucleotides) under uncultured bacterium. Its description in RNAcentral is "bacterial SSU rRNA". It matches the Rfam family "Bacterial small subunit ribosomal RNA", at positions 28 to 416 of the family's 1533-position model. The record is from RNAcentral.